UAGAGAGAGAGAGAGAGAGAGAGAGAGAGAGAGAGAGAGAGAGAGAGAGAGAGAGAGAGAGAGAGAGAGAGGACACAUGUUGGAAUGAAUCGGUCUCUGAUCGCACAGGAAGGCUCACCUCUCUGACCGUGAAUGCAGACAUGAUGAGUGAACGUUCAUCUGAGUAGAAGACUCUACUGUAGAUCUGCAGCUCCGUGCAUUGACUCUGUGCAUUGACUCUGUGCACUGAGCGGGAUCUUCGCCUCACUUCCUCCCGCAGACAUGAGCUCUCUGCAAGGAGAGAAGGCAGCAGGAGUCGGUUCGGAGGACCAGUACCGCGCCUUGGCCUGUGACACUGCGCUCAGCACGCUGGUGGCCGUGGUUCUCUACGUGCUGCUCAAAGUCAGCCUGGACGGCUUCAGGCAGUGGAGAGCACGGAUCUCGGUGCUCAUCGUGGGAUCGGGACCGGUGGGACUGACGGCCGCCCUGGUCGCUGUCCGCUCCGGGAAGGUGCUGAGGCUCACCGUGGUGGACGAGCGUUACCGGAGCGCGCUGCUCUGUCGGCCCCAGCAGAUCGCUCUGGAUCCCCGUAGCGUAAAGUUCCUGCUGGGACUGGGGGUGGACUUUGAUAACAUGGAGGGCUGCUGGCACAACGAGCACUUCUUCACCAGGAUAGGAGUGUUCCAGGAGUACCUGCUGAGCAUCCUGGAGAAGAAGAAGCAGAGUGUGGACGUCCAAGUCCAGCUCGGUACCAAGUUCACAGACGAAUACCUGCGGCGGGUUCAACAAAGCGAGGGGCCUCGUAUCAUCGUGGUCGCUGACGGCUCGUGUGGGGACUCGUGCUCCGUGUUGGGAAUCAGCUCUGACUACACAGUGGAGUCCUGCCACGCCUUCGGAGCUAACGCUUCCAUAGAGAGACUGGACCAGAGGCAGGUUCCGACCCCUGAGAUCCGAGCCCACAGCCUGUACUUUGACCUGUCUGCUUACGGAGUGGAGGCCCUGCGUGAGCAUCGAAACCCAGCAGCUAAAUCAGGAUUUCACCUGAAGAUUUACGGCACCUUCAGAAACCGUUACAUGGCUCUGGUCUGCCCCUCCUCCGACACCAGGAUGGUUCGCUUCCUGCGGCACACGGCCAACUCCUCCAUAAUGAAGAACAUCUUCCACCAGUCCUUUAACGCCUACAAGACGGACAUCGAGCCUCGUCUCAGCGACGUCACCCACCACCACAUGCAGUGCAGUCGGCGUCUCUUUGAGGUCCAGCUGUCACACAAACGCGUCAGCGCCGCAUACAUCGAGGGCGACAACGUGGCGGUCACCGUGGAGGGCGAGGCAGCUCGAGUGCUCAAUUUUGACACAGGCUGACAUCAGGGCUCUGUGUAAGAAGUCAGGUUGGCAGCAGAGGAGAGAGGAUGUGUGGUUCAGCAGGAGGAGGAAUCAGGAGCAGCCAAAGCUUCAGAAGAGGUUUUGUGAAGCCAGG
Molecule: long non-coding RNA, 1456 nt
Filed under: Gouania willdenowi (blunt-snouted clingfish)
Lineage: Eukaryota; Metazoa; Chordata; Actinopteri; Blenniiformes; Gobiesocidae
Description: lncRNA (ENSGWIG00000002477.1)
Source: RNAcentral